AACGAACGCUGGCGGCAGGCCUAAAACAUGCAAGUCGAACGCCCCGCAAGGGGAGUGGCGCACGGGUGAGUAACGCGUGGGAACGUGCCCUUCAGUACGGGACAACGUCGGGAAACUGACGCAAAUACCGUAUAAUGACUACGGUCCAAAGAUUUAUCGCUGAAGGAGCGGCCCGCGUCUGAUUAGCUAGUUGGUGAGGUAAUGGCUCACCAAGGCUACGAUCAGUAGCAGGUCUGAGAGGAUGAUCUGCCACACUGGGACUGAGACACGGCCCAGACUCCUACGGGAGGCAGCAGUGGGGAAUCUUGGACAAUGGGGGCAACCCUGAUCCAGCCAUGCCGCGUGUGCGAUGAAGGCCCUCGGGUUGUAAAGCACUUUUGGCGGGGAAUACGAUGAAGGUACCCGCAGAAUAAGUCACGGCUAACUUCGUGCCAGCCGCCGCGGUAA
Molecule: ribosomal RNA, 447 nt
Filed under: uncultured bacterium
Lineage: Bacteria
Description: partial 16S ribosomal RNA
Rfam family: Bacterial small subunit ribosomal RNA
Source: RNAcentral